RNAcentral lists this ribosomal RNA (253 nucleotides) under uncultured bacterium. RNAcentral describes it as "partial 16S ribosomal RNA". It matches the Rfam family "Bacterial small subunit ribosomal RNA", at positions 524 to 776 of the family's 1533-position model. The record is from RNAcentral.
UACGUAGGGGGCAAGCGUUGUCCGGAUUUAUUGGGCGUAAAGAGCGUGUAGGCGGCCAGACAGGUCGGUUGGGAAAACUCGAGGCUCAACCUCGAGACGCCGAUGGAAACCGUUUGGCUAGAGUCCGGAAGAGGAGAGUGGAAUUCCUGGUGUAGCGGUGAAAUGCGCAGAUAUCAGGAAGAACACCCGUGGCUAAGGCGGCUCUCUAGUACGGUACUGACGCUGAGACGCGAAAGCGUGGGGAGCGAACAGG